CCUACGGGGGGUAGCAGUGGGGAAUAUUGGACAAUGGGCGAAAGCCUGAUCCAGCCAUGCCGCGUGUGUGAAGAAGGCCUUCGGGUUGUAAAGCACUUUCAGUGGGGAAGAAAGCCUUGGGGCUAAUACCCUCGAGGAAGGACAUCACCCACAGAAGAAGCACCGGCUAACUCCGUGCCAGCAGCCGCGGUAAUACGGAGGGUGCGAGCGUUAAUCGGAAUUACUGGGCGUAAAGCGCGCGUAGGCGGUCUGAUAAGCCGGUUGUGAAAGCCCCGGGCUCAACCUGGGAACGGCAUCCGGAACUGUCAGGCUAGAGUGCAGGAGAGGAAGGUAGAAUUCCCGGUGUAGCGGUGAAAUGCGUAGAGAUCGGGAGGAAUACCAGUGGCGAAGGCGGCCUUCUGGACUGACACUGACGCUGAGGUGCGAAAGCGUGGGUAGCAAACAGGAUUAGAUACCCCAGUAGUC
RNAcentral lists this ribosomal RNA (465 nucleotides) under Vreelandella stevensii. Its description in RNAcentral is "partial 16S ribosomal RNA". It matches the Rfam family "Bacterial small subunit ribosomal RNA", at positions 338 to 795 of the family's 1533-position model. The record is from RNAcentral. Lineage: Bacteria; Pseudomonadati; Pseudomonadota; Gammaproteobacteria; Oceanospirillales; Halomonadaceae.